GUAAAAGCAAGAUGGCGGAGCGCAGUUAGAGCUUUCUGCUGAAGAACUGCACAUCCCGCGGAAGAACAUUCCAACUGGAGCUACUUCUCUGUCUAUGGCGAUUCACGCAGACCAUUAGCUGCCAGACUGCCUGCGAAGGAAACGAGAAAGAUUAAACUUGAUAGCAGAAACUGCCAGGUACGCUAACCAUUUCUGAAUAGGCGAAUAGACAUUUGGAUGCUAUUUAC
This 227-nucleotide long non-coding RNA is filed under the name Sinocyclocheilus anshuiensis. RNAcentral describes it as "lncRNA (ENSSANG00000029204.1)". Lineage: Eukaryota; Metazoa; Chordata; Actinopteri; Cypriniformes; Cyprinidae. The record is from RNAcentral.